GUGAAGGUGGAAGUCGUAACUAGUUCUCCGUUGGUGAACCAGCGGAGGGAUCAUUA
This 56-nucleotide ribosomal RNA is filed under the name Pestalotiopsis mangiferae. RNAcentral describes it as "partial 18S ribosomal RNA". The record is from RNAcentral. Lineage: Eukaryota; Fungi; Ascomycota; Sordariomycetes; Amphisphaeriales; Sporocadaceae.